UUGGUGUUUGUCAAGGUGUAACUUUGGUUUGAGAAGUGGGGGGGGCAUGCGGGGAAAUGUUUUCGAUUUG
Sinocyclocheilus rhinocerous is the source of this 70-nucleotide long non-coding RNA. RefSeq lists it as uncharacterized. The record is from RefSeq and is a predicted model, not a curated record. The transcript is spliced from 3 exons. NCBI's taxonomy places the organism in Eukaryota, Metazoa, Chordata, Actinopteri, Cypriniformes, Cyprinidae.